UGGGGUGUCCCCCUCUAUGUGUCCAGUGACUAUCGGGGACCCCCACCCCCUGAAUCCCCCCAUGGUGUCCAGUUAUGAGUAUUGGGGUCCCCCCGAAGCCCCCAGCAGGGUUUGGGGGCUCAGCCAUCCUCUCCCGCAGUCAUGGACCUGAGCUCGGAUGAGGAUUAUGAUGAUGAUGAGGAGGAAGAAGAGGAAGCACCAGUGCCAGCCCCCAAGAGGCCCCCAAAGGGCUCAGGUGCCCAGAAGGGCAGAACAACCAAGAAAAGGAAGUGGGAAAAGGAGGAGGAGCCGAACAGCCUCGUCCCUGCACGUGCCCCCCCAGCCAAGGGACGCGGAGCCGGCCGGGGCAGGAAAAGAGCAGCAAAAAAAUGAUGGAAUUGGGGAAUUCUGGGAAUUCCAUCCAGGUGAGGAUUGGGGGGUGUCCCUGGAAUGGCUCUGACCCCACAGCGGGCUCACCCCACUAAAAACCCUUUUCCUCUUCCCCUCCAGGUGCCUGGAAGCAGCAGCUGGUGGUGGUGGUGGUGUGGUUCCCUAUUAAAUAAAGCACAUUUUGCACUCCUGGAUCCCUGUGCU
This 573-nucleotide long non-coding RNA is filed under the name Junco hyemalis (dark-eyed junco). RNAcentral describes it as "lncRNA (ENSJHYG00000001420.1)". The record is from RNAcentral. Lineage: Eukaryota; Metazoa; Chordata; Aves; Passeriformes; Passerellidae.